Molecule: ribosomal RNA, 119 nt
Filed under: Hordeum vulgare subsp. vulgare (domesticated barley)
Lineage: Eukaryota; Viridiplantae; Streptophyta; Magnoliopsida; Poales; Poaceae
Source: RNAcentral
GGAUACGAUCAUACCAGCACUAAAGCACCGGAUCCCAUCAGAACUCCGAAGUUAAGCGUGCUUGGGCGAGAGUAGUACUAGGAUCGGUGACCUCCUGGGAAGUCCUCGUGUUGCAUUCC